CAGAGAUCUCGAAGUGGAAAAGGGACAGAUGUAGGCCACUGCUUCACGAAGAGUGACGCCUCAGAGAGCCUCUUGCACCCUAGCCUGGUGCUGCCUUUGCCUGCCUGCCUCUCUCCAGGAGGGAAACCCUUCCACACAGCCAGGACAGGGCACACAUCUCCACCAAUGGCAGUUGCCUGGGCCUGUCUUCUUGGAGGAGCUAGAUUUGGCUUUCUGUGAGAACAGAACAGGUACGGGGAUUUCUUGGCUUGGAGUCUACACUUGCUAUUGCCUGGGUUCUUUAAC
Molecule: long non-coding RNA, 285 nt
Filed under: Chinchilla lanigera (long-tailed chinchilla)
Lineage: Eukaryota; Metazoa; Chordata; Mammalia; Rodentia; Chinchillidae
Description: lncRNA (ENSCLAG00000026866.1)
Source: RNAcentral